RNAcentral lists this unclassified non-coding RNA (243 nucleotides) under Melitaea cinxia (Glanville fritillary). RNAcentral's name for it is "misc RNA ENSMCXG00005014840.1". The record is from RNAcentral. Lineage: Eukaryota; Metazoa; Arthropoda; Insecta; Lepidoptera; Nymphalidae.
AUGUCGUAAAGGGCUACUACGCUCUCCACCAGUCCGACGGCAACGAAAGACAAGUACACUACCAUGGCGACAAGCACACCGGAUUCCACGCUGAUGUCAAAUACAACGUGCAUCACGUCGCUCCUAAACAUUACCAUUAUUGAGUAUUUGUUAGCCGCACAUUGUUGUCCAAGCAUCUUGGAUAUAUUGUUAAUAUUUGAUAUAUUUUUUUAUAUGAAUAAAAGCAAAUUAUUCUAAAAAAAU